This 255-nucleotide ribosomal RNA is filed under the name uncultured bacterium. RNAcentral's name for it is "partial 16S ribosomal RNA". It matches the Rfam family "Bacterial small subunit ribosomal RNA", at positions 524 to 777 of the family's 1533-position model. The record is from RNAcentral.
UACAGAGGUCCCAAGCGUUGUUCGGAUUCACUGGGCGUAAAGGGUGCGUAGGCGGUCGGGUAAGUCUGAUUGUGAAAUCUCACAGCUUAACUGUGAAACUGCAUUGGAUACUAUCCGGCUCGAGGAAUGGAGGGGAGACUGGAAUACUUGGUGUAGCAGUGAAAUGCGUAGAUAUCAAGUGGAACACCAGUGGCGAAGGCGAGUCUCUGGACAUUUCCUGACGCUGAGGCACGAAAGCCAGGGGAGCAAAGCGGG